GGUACUGCUCGGCACUGCCCUGGGAUGCACAGACGUUGCCAUGACAACUGGGAACCGCAGGCAGCGCAUCUCCGGGAUCAUCACACACCCAAAUCAGCUGAGUGUGAGCAGUCCCAGCCCCAGCAUCAGCCCAGCCCUCACACUGGGAGGGGUAUGGGCACACAGGGGCAGUUUUUCCCAAGGCCUGGCUCAGCAUCCCUGACACUACUCCUGCAUCUCCAGCUGUUUCUUUCCCGUGGCUUCCUUGUCCUC
RNAcentral lists this long non-coding RNA (252 nucleotides) under Gallus gallus (chicken). Its description in RNAcentral is "long non-coding RNA NONGGAT003283". Lineage: Eukaryota; Metazoa; Chordata; Aves; Galliformes; Phasianidae. The record is from RNAcentral.